CCCUUCAUCUCUCCCUCCCGUCCAUGCCCUCUUCCGCCGCCCCCCUCACCGGCCAACUCCGGCGUCCCCCUGCACCUCAAACCACUGCCCCCGAACCCCCUCCUCCUCCUCUCCCUACUCCACCGCGUGGAACCACCAAAUUCCACCCCCAGUAGGAACCCUAGCCCCGGAUCCAGGCUGUACAGAGAGGAGUAGGAGGCCAAGCUCGGGUAUUUUCCGUUCAUGGCGACGACGGCGCCUCGGAGACGAGGGACUGGGCGGAGCUGCCGCGGGACGUGUUGGCGACCGUCUACGAAAAGUUGGGCCUGGCGGGCAACCCUGGUCUCCGCGCCGGGGACCACGGCCUCCUCCUCUCCCUCGCCAAGCAACAUUACCUUGGCAUCCACAUGGAGGCUGGAGCGGUGGCAGCGCUGGACCUUUGCUGUGUAAUCGGAUGCAAAACCUCAUCGCUGCAUCCCCUUAACUAAUCUGUUGAUAAGUCUUGUGUCACCGAAUUAAAAGUUUCAUCUCUUUGGAUUGGACAGUAAUAUGGAAAGCGACCUCAACCAGAUCAGGCUGAAGAAGCUCCAAGACAUCUGAAGCCCUACUUCUUUUGUUCUACCUGUUGCCAUUCUGGAAUCAAACAGGUACUGAUGGUGCGAAGGCCGCGGUGGUGAGGUACUGAUGCCGUGAAGCUAUCUGGUGCACUUCAGCGGCCAAGUGCUGCUCAGGCUAGUUCUUCCUUUCCUGGGGUCCUGGGGCGAUGGCGCAUUGCUCCGUCCAAGUCUGGGUGAGUUGCUGGGGCGAUGUUGUGCCACUCCAGCCAGUUCUGGUGAUCAUGGGGGCGAGUUCCUGUGGUGAUGGAGUGCUGCUCUGGUCAGUUAUGGGGAUCGUGGUGCGAGUUCCUUUGAUGGUGCUGGGAUGGGCCGAGAUGGUGCACGGAAAUGGCUUUCCCGAGCAUGUAGAUGUUAUUUGUUGGGCAAAAAUGACAGUCGGGAUGUGUUUAUAUGUAUGUGUUAUUGAAUCAUUGGAAUGUUGUAAUUACUUAUUUAAGGUUGUUAUCACAAGAAUUUCUGAAUUA
This is a long non-coding RNA of Lolium rigidum, 1060 nucleotides long. RefSeq lists it as uncharacterized. The transcript has 4 exons. The record is from RefSeq and is a predicted model, not a curated record. Lineage: Eukaryota; Viridiplantae; Streptophyta; Magnoliopsida; Poales; Poaceae.